GACGAACGCUGGCGGCGUGCCUAAUACAUGCAAGUAGAACGCUGAAGGAGGAGCUUGCUCUUCUGGAUGAGUUGCGAACGGGUGAGUAACGCGUAGGUAACCUGCCUGGUAGCGGGGGAUAACUAUUGGAAACGAUAGCUAAUACCGCAUAACAGUAGAUGUUGCAUGACAUUUACUUAAAAGGUGCAAUUGCAUCACUACCAGAUGGACCUGCGUUGUAUUAGCUAGUUGGUGGGGUAACGGCUCACCAAGGCGACGAUACAUAGCCGACCUGAGAGGGUGAGCGGCCACGCUGGGACUGGGACACGGCCCAGCACCCUACGGGAGGCAGCCGUAGGGAAUCUUCGGCAAUGGCAGGAAGUCUGACCGAGCAACGCCGCGUGAGUGCAGAAGGUUUUCGGGUCGUAAAGCUCUGUUGUGAGAGAAGAACGAGUGUGAGAGUGGAAAGUUCACACUGUGACGGUAUCUUAACAGAAAGGGACGGCUAACCACGUG
RNAcentral lists this ribosomal RNA (495 nucleotides) under uncultured bacterium. Its description in RNAcentral is "partial 16S ribosomal RNA". It matches the Rfam family "Bacterial small subunit ribosomal RNA", at positions 28 to 507 of the family's 1533-position model. The record is from RNAcentral.